RNAcentral lists this unclassified non-coding RNA (165 nucleotides) under uncultured Dothideomycetes. RNAcentral's name for it is "sequence contains ITS2". Lineage: Eukaryota; Fungi; Ascomycota; Dothideomycetes. The record is from RNAcentral.
CAACCCUCAAGCUUUUGCUUGGUAUUGGGCUUUCAUCCAUUCUUUCGGGGGAGGAUGUGCCUAAAACUCAUAGGCGGUUGUAAUCAACUCCUUUGCGUAGUUAUUUUUUCUUUCGCUCUGGAUUUUUUGGUUAUAACUCGCCUAAAAACCUCUUUUUACUUAGAA